This 71-nucleotide transfer RNA is filed under the name Loxodonta africana (African savanna elephant). It matches the Rfam family "tRNA". Rfam says of the family: Transfer RNA (tRNA) molecules are approximately 80 nucleotides in length. Their secondary structure includes four short double-helical elements and three loops (D, anti-codon, and T loops). Lineage: Eukaryota; Metazoa; Chordata; Mammalia; Proboscidea; Elephantidae. The record is from Rfam by way of RNAcentral.
GCAUUGGUGGUUCAGUGGUAGAAUUCUCCCCUUCCACGCAGGAGACCUGGGCUCAAUUUCUUGCCAAUGCA